GUGAAGAACGUAGCGAAAUGCGAUAAGUAAUGUGAAUUGCAGAAUUCAGUGAAUCAUCGAAUCUUUGAACGCACAUUGCGCCCCUUGGUAUUCCGAGGGGCAUGCCCGUUCGAGCGUCAUUAUACCCCUCAAGCCUAGCUUGGUGUUGGGGCCUGCUGUUACCGGCAGCCCUUAAAAUCAGUGGCGGUGCCAUCUGGCUCUAAGCGUAGUAAUACUUCUCGCUACAGGGUCCCGGUGGAUGCUUGCCAUCAACCCCUAAUUUUCUAUGGUUGACCUCGGAUCGGGUAGGGAUACCCGCUGAACUUAAGCAUAUCAAUAAGCGGAGGA
This 327-nucleotide unclassified non-coding RNA is filed under the name soil metagenome. RNAcentral's name for it is "partial contains 5.8S ribosomal RNA, internal transcribed spacer 2, and large subunit ribosomal RNA". The stretch from base 2 to 119 matches the Rfam family "5.8S ribosomal RNA", at positions 37 to 154 of the family's 154-position model. The record is from RNAcentral.